GUGCUCGCUUCAGUAGCACAUAUACAAAAAUUGGAACUGUGUGGAGAAGAUUAGCAUGACUCCUGCACAAGGAUGAGAUCUUCUCUUCUCUAGUUAGCUGUAUUCCCAGGUAUUUCAUUUUUUU
Molecule: small nuclear RNA, 124 nt
Organism: Macaca fascicularis (crab-eating macaque)
Lineage: Eukaryota; Metazoa; Chordata; Mammalia; Primates; Cercopithecidae
Source: Ensembl